This 730-nucleotide ribosomal RNA is filed under the name Streptococcus suis. Its description in RNAcentral is "bacterial SSU rRNA". It matches the Rfam family "Bacterial small subunit ribosomal RNA", at positions 1 to 720 of the family's 1533-position model. The record is from RNAcentral. Lineage: Bacteria; Bacillati; Bacillota; Bacilli; Lactobacillales; Streptococcaceae.
AAAUUGAAGAGUUUGAUCAUGGCUCAGAUUGAACGCUGGCGGCAGGCCUAACACAUGCAAGUCGAACGGUAACAGGAAGCAGCUUGCUGCUUCGCUGACGAGUGGCGGACGGGUGAGUAAUGUCUGGGAAACUGCCUGAUGGAGGGGGAUAACUACUGGAAACGGUAGCUAAUACCGCAUAACGUCGCAAGACCAAAGAGGGGGACCUUCGGGCCUCUUGCCAUCGGAUGUGCCCAGAUGGGAUUAGCUAGUAGGUGGGGUAACGGCUCACCUAGGCGACGAUCCCUAGCUGGUCUGAGAGGAUGACCAGCCACACUGGAACUGAGACACGGUCCAGACUCCUACGGGAGGCAGCAGUGGGGAAUAUUGCACAAUGGGCGCAAGCCUGAUGCAGCCAUGCCGCGUGUAUGAAGAAGGCCUUCGGGUUGUAAAGUACUUUCAGCGGGGAGGAAGGCGACAGGGUUAAUAACCCUGUCGAUUGACGUUACCCGCAGAAGAAGCACCGGCUAACUCCGUGCCAGCAGCCGCGGUAAUACGGAGGGUGCAAGCGUUAAUCGGAAUUACUGGGCGUAAAGCGCACGCAGGCGGUCUGUCAAGUCGGAUGUGAAAUCCCCGGGCUCAACCUGGGAACUGCAUUCGAAACUGGCAGGCUAGAGUCUUGUAGAGGGGGGUAGAAUUCCAGGUGUAGCGGUGAAAUGCGUAGAGAUCUGGAGGAAUACCGGUGGCGAAG